GAGCUGUCACCAAAAGCUGAUGGCAGGGUGAUAACUCCACUCCUGCACCCUCUGAGAGAUGCAAAGGCAGCCAGUGUGAGCAUUUCCCUGCACUCAAGGGGAAUUUUUAACAGGUUCAGGCAGAUAUUUCUGUGCCUGUGUGUGAAUUGAUUCAAAUACCCUCACAAGCACAGCAGCGAAGGUGCUAUCUUGAAUCUGCAAUUAGGUCUCUCUGGUAAUUGUAAUAAAUCCUAUCAAAUUACUUUAUAAAUGUUAAAUUAGUCAAUGAUUAAGUGCUGCUAAACCCUUUAGCACCCUUACCCUUUGCACCUUUACUAUUUUGCGUGCCUGGCCUCCACGUAAAUCAUUCUGGACUGAUUUCUAAUCCGAUUUUCCUUUGUGUGCUUCACCCAUGUAAUGAGUAAUGGAGUCAUUCUUGCCACUGAACUCUGUUAAAUUACACCUUUACAAAUUUAUGUUAAAACCUGCUCUCACUAAUACCUUUGCCAGUGAUUCUCUAAGCAGCCUAACACACUCAUUUGUCACAUCCAUAAGCACACAACGCUUCAAACUGUGUUGAGAAGAGCCUUGAGUUAACUCCUGUAAGGGCUUUCCUCAGCUCACCACUUGUGCAGUCUGAUUGCUGCUUAUUCCUUGCUUUUAGGGCUUUUCUCCUCCUCCUUUCCUCCUCUGAAUUUGGAGCAGUACUUUGAAAAGAGCUGAGACAACACCUUAGAUGCAGACUUGUAUCUUCCAGCAGAGUUUUCAGUAUGGUUGGUGCAUAUGGGUAAAAAGGAGGGGUUCUGCAGAUCAGUUUCCAAAUGGAAUUUUACAACCUUCUUUGGCAAGAGAAGACAACCACGUGCUGAAACCAGUUCAGGGCAGGUUCUGGAUAUCUUCCUGGACCUGCAGAGGGGGCAAAAUCUCCACAUUGCUUAGAAGGAGCAGAAUUAUUUCAUUCUCCUGAUAUAUAUUUCCUUCUCUGGUAACUUGUACCAAUACUUCACCAGCACCAAGAUCCUCACUAGAAAUGUUAUUGUAACAAAAAUGGAGAUAAAAGCAUUUAUUACUGCAGUUAGGGCAGUUGCCAUUUGAUUUGCAGAAGUGUUUUACUCUUCAAUAUCUGAAC
Cyanistes caeruleus (blue tit) is the source of this 1108-nucleotide long non-coding RNA. RefSeq lists it as uncharacterized. Lineage: Eukaryota; Metazoa; Chordata; Aves; Passeriformes; Paridae. The record is from RefSeq and is a predicted model, not a curated record.